Molecule: ribosomal RNA, 1239 nt
Filed under: uncultured fungus
Lineage: Eukaryota; Fungi
Description: eukaryotic LSU rRNA
Rfam family: Eukaryotic large subunit ribosomal RNA (bases 605-1239)
Source: RNAcentral
AAGUCGUAACAAGGUUUCCGUAGGUGAACCUGCGGAAGGAUCAUUAACGUAUCUCAGGCGUGCGACCCUCACCCUGCUCCUGCCGAAAGGCGGUGCAGCGGGUGUGUGGCCGUCGCCUAACCUUCAUAAACCACUGUGAACCUUCACGGCAGAGGCUUGUGGGCGAGAGCCUGCUUGCCAAAACCGUACCUACAAACACUAGUAACAAGAAUGUCUAGCGACUCUGUUCGCCCAUUAAACAUAACAACUUUCAACAACGGAUCUCUUGGCUCUCGCAUCGAUGAAGAACGCAGCGAAAUGCGAUAAGUAAUGUGAAUUGCAGAAUUCAGUGAAUCAUCGAAUCUUUGAACGCACCUUGCGCUCCUUGGUAUUCCGAGGAGCAUGCCUGUUUGAGUGUCUUGAAGUCAUCAACCCCCCAGUUUUUCGAAACAGGGACGGUUGGAUAUGGGAGCUUGCUGCCGACAAGGCUGCUCUCCUCAAAUGUGUCGGUUGGACCUGUGGGUCGGACUCGUUGGGCGUUGUAUCAUCCUCGCUCUGACUGAGAUGUUCCCCUGUUGUGUCCUCCCUCGACUUGCCGUUAGAGUGGCAGUCAACUUUUGAAAUCUGACCUCAAAUCAGGUAGGACUACCCGCUGAACUUAAGCAUAUCAAUAAGCGGAGGAAAAGAAACUAACAAGGAUUCCCCUAGUAACUGCGAGUGAAGCGGGAUGAGCUCAAAUUUGAAAUCUGGCGGCUCCGUCGUCCGAGUUGUAAACUGGAGAAGCGUUUUCCGUGCCGGACCGUGUACAAGUGCCUUGGAACAGGACAUCAUAGAGGGUGAGAAUCCCGUCUUUGACACGGACCCCCGGUGCUCUGCGAUGCGCUCUCGAAGAGUCGAGUUGUUUGGGAAUGCAGCUCAAAAUGGGUGGUAAAUUCCAUCUAAAGCUAAAUAUUGGCGAGAGACCGAUAGCGAACAAGUACCGUGAGGGAAAGAUGAAAAGCACUUUGGAAAGAGAGUAAAACAGUACGUGAAAUUGUUGAAAGGGAAACGCUUGAAGUCAGUCGCGUCUGCCGGAACUCAGCCUUGCUUCUGCUUGGUGCACUUUCCGGUUUGAUGGGCCAGCAUCGGUUUCGGGCGACGGACACUGGCUGGGGGAAGGUGGCGACUCCGGUCGUGUUAUAGCCCCUUGUCGAGAACGUCGCCCGGGACCGAGGAAUCCGGCGCAAGCCUGGGAUGCUGGCGUAAUGGCUUUAAACGACC